UGACUNGAGUGCAGAAGGGGAGAGUGGAAUUCCAUGUGUAGCGGUGAAAUGCGUAGAUAUAUGGAGGAACACCAGUGGCGAAAGCGGCUCUCUGGUCUGUCACUGACGCUGAGGCUCGAAAGCGUGGGUAGCGAACAGGAUUAGAUACCCUGGUAGUNCACGCCGUAAACGAUGAGUGCUAGGUGUUAGGCCCUUUCCGGGGCUUAGUGCCGGAGCUAACGCAAUAAGCACUCCGCCUGGGGAGUACGACCGCAAGGUUGAAACUCAAAGGAAUUGACGGGGGCCCGCACAAGCGGUGGAGCAUGUGGUUUAAUUCGAAGCAACGCGAAGAACCUUACCAGGUCUUGACAUCCCGAUGCUAUUCUUAGAGAUAGGAAGUUACUUCGGUACAUCGGAGACAGGUGGUGCAUGGUUGUCGUCAGCUCGUGUCGUGAGAUGUUGGGUUAAGUCCCGCAACGAGCGCAACCCUUAUUGUUAGUUGCCAUCAUUAAGUUGGGCACUCUAGCGAGACUGCCGGUAAUAAACCGGAGGAAGGUGGGGAUGACGUCAAAUCAUCAUGCCCCUUAUGACCUGGGCUACACACGUGCUACAAUGGUCGGUACAACGAGUUGCGAGCCGGUGACGGCAAGCUAAUCUCUGAAAGCCGAUCUCAGUUCGGAUUGGAGGCUGCAACUCGCCUCCAUGAAGUCGGAAUCGCUAGUAAUCGCGGAUCAGCACGCCGCGGUGAAUACGUUCCCGGGCCUUGUACACACCGCCCGUCACACCACGAGAGUUUGUAACACCCGAAGUCGGUGAGGUAACCUUUUAGGGGCCAGCCGC
This 819-nucleotide ribosomal RNA is filed under the name uncultured bacterium. RNAcentral's name for it is "bacterial SSU rRNA". It matches the Rfam family "Bacterial small subunit ribosomal RNA", at positions 638 to 1456 of the family's 1533-position model. The record is from RNAcentral.